RNAcentral lists this ribosomal RNA (278 nucleotides) under uncultured bacterium. Its description in RNAcentral is "partial 16S ribosomal RNA". It matches the Rfam family "Archaeal small subunit ribosomal RNA", at positions 456 to 735 of the family's 1478-position model. The record is from RNAcentral.
UGCCAGCAGCCGCGGUAAUACCGGCGCCUCAAGUGGUAGUCGCUUUUAUUGGGCCUAAAACGUCCGUAGCCGGUCUGAUACAUUCGUGGUGAAAUCCAGAGCUUAACUGGUUGAAUUCUGCGAGGACGGCCAGACUUGGGACCGGGAGAGGUGUGGGGUACGCUCAGGGUAGGGGUAAAAUCCUGUCAUCCUGAGCGGACCACCUGUUGCGAAGGCGCCACACUAGAACGGAUCCGACGGUCAGGGACGAAGCCUAGGGGCACGAACCGGAUUAGAUA